Molecule: ribosomal RNA, 871 nt
Filed under: uncultured bacterium
Lineage: Bacteria
Description: bacterial SSU rRNA
Rfam family: Bacterial small subunit ribosomal RNA
Source: RNAcentral
GAGGAUAGGUGAUACUGCUAGACUAGAGUGAGAAAGAGGAAGGUAGAAUUCCGGGUGUAGUGGUGAAAUGCGUAGAUAUCCGGAGGAAUACCAGUGGCGAAGGCGGCCUUCUGGUUCUCAACUGACGCUGAGACGCGAAAGCGUGGGUAGCGAACGGGAUUAGAAACCCCGGUAGUCCACGCCGUAAACGAUGUACAUUAAACGUUCGCAUGCGUCUAGUAUGUGAGUGUUGAAGCAAACGCGAUAAAUGUACCGCCUGGGGAGUACGGUCGCAAGGCUAAAACUCAAAGGAAUUGACGGGGGCCCGCACAAGCAGCGGAGCGUGUGGUUUAAUUCGAGGCUACGCGAAGAACCUUACCUGGGUUUGACAUCAUGGUAGUACGGAAGCGAAAGCGGAAGGACUCUUCGGAGAGCCAUGACAGGUGCUGCAUGGUUGUCGUCAGCUCGUGCCGUGAGGUGUUCGGUUAAGUCCGCAAACGAGCGCAACCCUCGGUGCUAGUUAUAAGUGUCUAGCGCGACUGCCCGUGACAAACGGGAGGAAGGUGGGGAUGACGUCAAAUCAGCAUGGCCUUUAUAUCCAGGGCUACACACACGCUACAAUGGUCGGUACAAUGGGUCGCGAAGCAGUGAUGCGGAGCCAAUCCUCCAAAGCCGAUCUCAGUUCGGAUUGCAGGCUGCAACUCGCCUGCAUGAAGUCGGAGUUGCUAGUAACCGCGUAUCAGCACGGCGCGGUGAAUACGUUCCCGGGCCUUGUACACACCGCCCGUCACGUCAUGGGAGCUGGUCACGCCUAAAGUCGGGAAGCUAACCUAACGGAGGCUACUGCCUAGGGCAGGAUUGGUGACUGGGACGAAGUCGUAACAAGGUACCA